RNAcentral lists this transfer RNA (71 nucleotides) under Stegodyphus mimosarum. It matches the Rfam family "tRNA". From Rfam's summary of the family: Transfer RNA (tRNA) molecules are approximately 80 nucleotides in length. Their secondary structure includes four short double-helical elements and three loops (D, anti-codon, and T loops). The record is from Rfam by way of RNAcentral. Lineage: Eukaryota; Metazoa; Arthropoda; Arachnida; Araneae; Eresidae.
GCCUUUGUGGUGUAACGGUAGCACACUCGGCGCGUAUUCGAGAGGUCCAGGUUCGAGUCCCGGCGAGGACA